Molecule: ribosomal RNA, 487 nt
Filed under: uncultured bacterium
Lineage: Bacteria
Description: partial 16S ribosomal RNA
Rfam family: Bacterial small subunit ribosomal RNA
Source: RNAcentral
GAUGAACGCUAGCGAUAGGCUUAACACAUGCAAGUCGAGGGGCAGCACAAGGUAGCUUGCUAUCUGGGUGGCGACCGGCGCACGGGUGCGUAACGCGUAUGCAACUUGCCCUAUACAGGAGGAUAACCCGUCGAAAGACGGACUAAUACUGCGUAUGCUCACAACUUGGCAUCAAGUGGUGAGGAAAGAAAUUCGGUAUAGGAUAGGCAUGCGUCCCAUUAGCUUGUUGGUGAGGUAACGGCUCACCAAGGCAACGAUGGGUAGGGGAACUGAGAGGUUUAUCCCCCACACUGGUACUGAGACACGGACCAGACUCCUACGGGAGGCAGCAGUGAGGAAUAUUGGUCAAUGGGCGCGAGCCUGAACCAGCCAAGUCGCGUGAAGGAUGACUGUCUUAUGGAUUGUAAACUUCUUUUAUACGGGAAGAACAAGAGCCACGUGUGACUCCCUGCAUGUACCGUAUGAAUAAGCAUCGGCUAACUCCGUG